RNAcentral lists this ribosomal RNA (476 nucleotides) under uncultured bacterium. RNAcentral's name for it is "bacterial SSU rRNA". It matches the Rfam family "Bacterial small subunit ribosomal RNA", at positions 26 to 518 of the family's 1533-position model. The record is from RNAcentral.
AGGACGAACGCUGGCGGCGUGCCUAACACAUGCAAGUCGAGCGAGGAGAUUCCUUCGGGAUGAUCCUAGCGGCGGACGGGUGAGUAACACGUGGGCAACCUGCCUCAUAGAGAGGAAUAGCCUUCCGAAAGGGAGAUUAAUACCUCAUAACAUUGCAGUUUCGCAUGGAACAGCAAUUAAAGGAGUAAUCCGCUAUGAGACGGGCCCGCGGCGCAUUAGCUAGUUGGUGAGGUAACGGCUCACCAAGGCGACGAUGCGUAGCCGACCUGAGAGGGUGAUCGGCCACAUUGGGACUGAGACACGGCCCAGACUCCUACGGGAGGCAGCAGUGGGGAAUAUUGCACAAUGGGGGAAACCCUGAUGCAAGCAACGCCGCGUGAGUGAUGACGGCCUUCGGGUUGUAAAGCUCUGCCUUCAGGGACGAUAAUGACGGUACCUGAGGAGGAAGCCACGGCUAACUACGUGCCAGCAGCGGC